GAUGAACGCUAGCGGCAGGCCUAACACAUGCAAGUCGAGGGAUAAGCCUUCGGGCUAAGACCGGCGCACGGGUGCGUAACGCGUAUACAAUCUGCCUUUUAUCCGGGGGAUAGCCCGAAGAAAUUUGGAUUAAUACCCUAUGGUAUAAGAGCACGGCAUCGUGCACUUAUUAAAGCUACGGCGGUAAAAGAUGAGUAUGCGUUCUAUUAGCUAGUUGGAGAGGUAACGGCUCCCCAAGGCGACGAUAGAUAGGGGUUCUGAGAGGGAUGUCCCCCACACUGGUACUGAGAUACGGACCAGACUCCUACGGGAGGCAGCAGUGAGGAAUAUUGGACAAUGGUCGGAAGACUGAUCCAGCCAUGCCGCGUGCAGGAUGACGGCCUUAUGGGUUGUAAACUGCUUUUGUAAGGGAAGAAUAAGGAGUACGUGUACUUUGAUGACGGUACCUUACGAAGAAGCAUCGGCUAACUCCGU
Molecule: ribosomal RNA, 474 nt
Filed under: uncultured bacterium
Lineage: Bacteria
Description: partial 16S ribosomal RNA
Rfam family: Bacterial small subunit ribosomal RNA
Source: RNAcentral